AGAAUUUUAUGUUCUGAAGCUGGAGUGAUUUUUUUUUUUUUUUUUUUUCCUGUUCAAAUUAAGGCCCAGCUAAGUGAAUUUUCCCUGGAGGCUCCAAGAGGCAAAACUCUGGAUCCGAGGUUGUUUUCUCCCAGCAACAGGGAACUACUGCCCCCUAGAGGAUAAAAAGAAUCUCUCACUGCCCCGACUGGAAAAUCGGAAAGUCAUAGGAUUUACCUCAGAGAAUUACGAUGAGGAGUCUUACUCUGAGGUAAGAAAUAUCUUCCUUCUCUGAAGUUAAAAAAAAAUUCUUCUCUAUGUUUGGUAAUAGUUUUGGGAGUGGAUUUUUCAUAUUUAGGCCUUUAAUUUCUUUGUGAUUAUUUGCAUGUAUGGUACAAUAUAGGAAUCCAAUUCCUUUAUUUUUUUAAUUUUUAUUUAAAAUUUUUUAUUGCAAAAAAUAGAUUUAUUAGGAUAGGACGCUUGUGAGAGAUGCAAGCAGGCAGGCAAGGAGGCUCUGCCUAUUUUUAUUUUUAUUUUUUAUUUUUGUCUUUUUAGGCUGCACCCACGGCAUAUGGAGAUUCCCAGGCUAGGGGUCGGAUGGGAGCUACAGCUGCUGGCUUACACCACAGCCACAGCCACAGCCACAGCCACGCUGGAGGCUUAACUCACUGUUAGAGGCCAGGGGUCGAUCCUGCAUCCUCAUGGAUACUAGUCAGAUUCAUUUCCGCUGAGCCACAGUGGGAACUCCCAGUUCCUUUUUUCGUUUUCUGUCAUGUGGAGAGCCAGUCGUCCCAAUACCAUGCAAUGACUCAUCCUGUCAUAGAGAAGAACACAUCUGACUCCAUAUUAGACCUGUUCCUUUUACUUUAACCUUCAUAUUCUUUUUUUUUUUUUUUUUUUUUGCCAUUUC
This 889-nucleotide long non-coding RNA is filed under the name Sus scrofa (pig). RNAcentral describes it as "lncRNA (ENSSSCG00045013403.1)". Lineage: Eukaryota; Metazoa; Chordata; Mammalia; Artiodactyla; Suidae. The record is from RNAcentral.